GCCCUCUCUGUGUGCGUGUCAGCGGCACCUGGCAUCGUGGGCCCCCACUUCCCUGGGAAGGGCGUCCUCCCCUCGAGCUCGGGCCUCGCCGACCUCCAGUCCCCCUUCCUCCUUCACCCUUGGGUCCCCGGCUCUGCACGUGGGAUGCCCAGGGCUCAGGCUUGGGCCAGCCCUAAUGGCCCCAGCUCAUGAGUCCUUCCCUGAACCCCCAUUUCAAGUUGCACCUUCACCCUUCAAGCCCACACGUCCACCUCCCCGGCUUCAUCUGUCCACACAGUGUCCUCCAGGUGCCACACCACACGUUUCAUUCUGUCUAACGUGCGUCUCGUCACCAGGACGUCAGCCCCAGGGGCAGGAACACCCGUAGGUCUUGCUCAGUGCCGGCCCUGGCCUGGACGAGGCCUGGCACGCAGGGUCCACGCAGAGGGCUGUUGCCGGAGGGACGAGUCUAACACUCUGGGCUAACCACGUCCUCUCCUAGCAGUGAGGACCCCCAGCCGGUGCCAUGCAAACUCGGCGACAGCUUGCCCUGGUCAGACUGCCCGGUGUCCCACUGCGUGCCCAGGAACUGCUCCAUUCCCUACAAGGGCUUCGUCAUCGCCGACAGAGACUACUACUCGUUCCAGCCCGACAGGCCCCUGGUCAGCCAGCGCACCUUCACGCUGGCCCAGCACGUCCAGCCCCCCGCACCCCAAGACCUGCGCAUCAACGGCUCCGGGGACGCUCUCGAGCUGAGCUGGAGCGUGGCCCUCGGGGGUCCCCGGGGAAGCUGGCUGUCCCAGAACGACCUGGAGUUUGAGGUGGUCUACAGGCGGCUGCAGGACUCCUUGGAGGUAGGCAACCGAGGCAGGCCUGCCCCGCGCCCAGGUCCUGGACCACGGGCCUCCUCCAGCACCCCCUCUCUCCCCAGA
RNAcentral lists this long non-coding RNA (911 nucleotides) under Dasypus novemcinctus (nine-banded armadillo). Its description in RNAcentral is "lncRNA (ENSDNOG00000051901.1)". Lineage: Eukaryota; Metazoa; Chordata; Mammalia; Cingulata; Dasypodidae. The record is from RNAcentral.